Camelus ferus (Wild Bactrian camel) is the source of this 72-nucleotide transfer RNA. It matches the Rfam family "tRNA". From Rfam's summary of the family: Transfer RNA (tRNA) molecules are approximately 80 nucleotides in length. Their secondary structure includes four short double-helical elements and three loops (D, anti-codon, and T loops). The record is from Rfam. NCBI's taxonomy places the organism in Eukaryota, Metazoa, Chordata, Mammalia, Artiodactyla, Camelidae.
GAGGGUAUAGCUGAGUGGUAGAGUGCGUGCUUAGCAGGCAUGAGGUCCUGGGUUCAAUCCCCAGCACCUCCA